UUGUCCAGUCCAAGUAUAAAGAAAAAAAAGAGGAAUAAAAACCGGGAAAAGAUCUUAACAGCUGAAUACAGCAAAAAGAAAGAAAUAUUGUGCGUUUAUAAAGUAAAAGUGUGUUAAGUGCCAAUCUCAAUUGGAAAUUAAUUUUUCAGAUUGGCGGUUAGUACCGGCUUAAACUUCGGGCAAUCGUUUGGGUACCUGUCUGAACCCCAAUACGAAAGCUCGCAACAACAAUUUCCCCGAUAUUAGGGCCUCCGCCCGCGGCAAGGGACUUAUGCUCCUCGCCCAACUACAGCACCGUACCAAAAAUUCCCAGCGCUAGGCCGAGCAGCACAAAGCGGGAGGCGUAAAAGAUCGGCUCAUCAGUCGCUUUGCGGGAGCGAGCCACUUAUGUGUCACGGACCCGCGAUAUAUUGGAGGCCGUCCAAUUCUGCGGAAAUUAUUAAAGCUAUGUAAACGGUCAGCCAAUUUCUACCCGAAAUAUAGAUCUGGGUCUCGACCUAUUUUCGUUUCCCCAUACGAAGUGCCGAGGAGUGCCCAGAUGUGAAGCCGGCGGCAACGACUGUCGUUUUUUUUUAUAUCCAUCAGUGUAACCGCUGAUUCCUAUUUUUAUGCUAUAGCGUCAUUAGUGUAAUUAGCUUAGUAAAUUUCUUUUGGUUGUGUUUUUAAACUCUGUUCGGAAGAAAUAGCAAGUGGAAUGUGUGACAGGGCGAAAGUGAACAACGGUUAAACGGCAGAGGAGAGCGUGAGUUUUUUUUUGUAAAAGUAUUUCUCCAGCUUUCGUUUUAGGAACGUUGCCGCAGUCCAUGGAAGCGCUUUCAUCGCUGUUUCAACGCAUUUAUUAAAACAAAUCAAAGGAAGGCCUCAGGGGCUUCGUCGCUUAAGAGAGGCUGUGCGCUCUCCCUUAUGCCCUGCUGGCAACCAUAAGCGCUUACGCCGCGCAUAAGAACCAGCCCUCUUAAGAACAAGGCACAAAAGGGAAGAUGCGAGGCUGGUCGCUCUGACGUUCUUUUAUGCUUUCUACUUGCGGUUGCUUUCGCUAAUGCACUUGAAUAACUGACCUGCCAUAACGAUCGCCGCGCACAGUUUUUACAUUCCCUUUUGCAUAUUUAUUUAUUAUUAUUAUCUAUUUGCCUAACAUAAAAGCUGGAGAUAUGUACCCUUUCCUUCUUUCAAUUUGUAAGUUAAAUUUCAAUCUAAAGUGUAUUAUUAAGAGUUAAUCAUUUAUUAGUUUACUAGUGCGAUGCAUGUGCUAUUGCUCAAUAUGAAAUAUAGGAUUUAACAUGAA
Long non-coding RNA from Drosophila miranda, 1285 nucleotides. RefSeq lists it as uncharacterized. The record is from RefSeq and is a predicted model, not a curated record. The transcript has 3 exons. NCBI's taxonomy places the organism in Eukaryota, Metazoa, Arthropoda, Insecta, Diptera, Drosophilidae.